This is a long non-coding RNA of Carassius auratus (goldfish), 435 nucleotides long. RefSeq lists it as uncharacterized. The record is from RefSeq and is a predicted model, not a curated record. The transcript has 5 exons. NCBI's taxonomy places the organism in Eukaryota, Metazoa, Chordata, Actinopteri, Cypriniformes, Cyprinidae.
GCCAAUAAUAUUAAAAAGAAGCAAUACAGCUGCAUCGGCUAAAGCAAGAGAGUUGGCUUGGCAAAAAAUAACGGACAGAGUAAAUGCGUGUAAUCCUUCUGGAGCCACAAGAACUUUAAGCCAAGUCAAAAUGAAACACAAAAACAUUCUGCAAAAAGCUAACAGAAAGAAGACUGAAGCCCGUCUAACUGGCGGGGGGCCACCACCACCUCCCCUCACCCAUCUGAGGAGCUGGCUCUGUCCCUUAAUAAAGGGCGACCAGUGGUUGCUGGCAUUCCAGGGGGCAGUUCAUCACACAUACUAUGCACCACAAGUGAUAGUGAAAAAAGGGUGACAUAUACUGAUGGACGGAUUGUUUUAUUGGACUCUCCAGAAAGAACACAGUCUGUCACAGUUGAUGAAGAUGAUGAUGACGAUGAAGAGACCACAUCGGCC